UCCAGACUCCUACGGGAGGCAGCAGUGGGGGAUAUUGCACAAUGGGGGGAACCCUGAUGCAGCGACGCCGCGUGGGUGAAGGAGCGUUUCGGCGCGUAAAGCCCUAUCGGCAGGGAAGAAGGAGGACGGUACCUGACUAAGAAGCCCCGGCUAACUACGUGCCAGCAGCCGCGGUAAUACGUAGGGGGCAGGCGUUAUCCGGAUUUACUGGGUGUAAAGGGGGCGCAGACGGCAGCGCAAGCCAGGAGUGAAAGCCCGGGGCCCAACCCCGGGACUGCUCUUGGAACUGCGCGGCUGGAGUGCAGGAGGGGCAGGCGGAAUUCCUGGUGUAGCGGUGAAAUGCGUAGAUAUCAGGAGGAACACCGGUGGCGAAGGCGGCCUGCUGGACUGCGACUGACGUUGAGGCCCGAAAGCGUGGGGAGCAAACAGGAUUAGAUACCCGUGUACUA
This 449-nucleotide ribosomal RNA is filed under the name uncultured bacterium. Its description in RNAcentral is "partial 16S ribosomal RNA". It matches the Rfam family "Bacterial small subunit ribosomal RNA", at positions 330 to 797 of the family's 1533-position model. The record is from RNAcentral.